GAUUUUCUAUCAAAUUCUUCUUGACGUAGCUUCUAAAACUUAUAAAAUGACCAAUUAAAAAUUGAUGACAUAAAGAGUGAUGGAAUCCCUACUCUCUAAAAAGUCAACUUUUUGUGGACUUUAAAAAGAAUUUGUAUUCUUUCGAGUUUAAGAUUGAGUGGAAAAAGUCCAUCCUUGCCUGGAGACUAGAACACUCUUACGCAACUCGG
This 209-nucleotide long non-coding RNA is filed under the name Elaeis guineensis (African oil palm). RNAcentral describes it as "long non-coding RNA (EGUI_LNC006653)". The record is from RNAcentral. Lineage: Eukaryota; Viridiplantae; Streptophyta; Magnoliopsida; Arecales; Arecaceae.